GCGGAAGUAGCUCAGUUGAUUAGAGCAUCAGCCUUCCAAGCUGAGGGUCGCGGGUUUGAGUCCCGUUUUCCGCU
RNAcentral lists this transfer RNA (74 nucleotides) under Paludibacteraceae bacterium. RNAcentral describes it as "tRNA-Gly". It matches the Rfam family "tRNA". Rfam says of the family: Transfer RNA (tRNA) molecules are approximately 80 nucleotides in length. Their secondary structure includes four short double-helical elements and three loops (D, anti-codon, and T loops). Lineage: Bacteria; Pseudomonadati; Bacteroidota; Bacteroidia; Bacteroidales; Paludibacteraceae. RNAcentral also lists the same sequence under 1 other name. The record is from RNAcentral.